UACGUAGGGUGCAAGCGUUGUCCGGAAUUAUUGGGCGUAAAGAGCUCGUAGGCGGUUCGUCGCGUCGGCUGUGAAAACCUGAGGCUCAACCUCAGGCCUGCAGUCGAUACGGGCGGACUUGAGUACUGCAGGGGAGACUGGAAUUCCUGGUGUAGCGGUGAAAUGCGCAGAUAUCAGGAGGAACACCGGUGGCGAAGGCGGGUCUCUGGGUGCCACCUGACACUGCUAGGACGAAAGCGUGGGGAGCGAAUGGG
This 254-nucleotide ribosomal RNA is filed under the name uncultured bacterium. RNAcentral's name for it is "partial 16S ribosomal RNA". It matches the Rfam family "Bacterial small subunit ribosomal RNA", at positions 524 to 776 of the family's 1533-position model. The record is from RNAcentral.